UGCCGCGUGAGUGAAGAAGGCCUUCGGGUUGUAAAGCUCUUUCGGCUGGGAAGAAAUCGCACAGGCUAAUACUCUGUGUGGAUGACGGUACCAGCACAAGAAGCACCGGCUAACUACGUGCCAGCAGCCGCGGUAAUACGUAGGGUGCGAGCGUUAAUCGGAAUUACUGGGCGUAAAGCGUGCGCAGGCGGUUGUGCAAGACAGAUGUGAAAUCCCCGGGCUCAACCUGGGAACUGCAUUUGUGACUGCACGACUAGAGUACGGCAGAGGGGGGUAGAAUUCCACGUGUAGCAGUGAAAUGCGUAGAGAUGUGGAGGAAUACCGAUGGCGAAGGCAGCCCCCUGGGCCGAUACUGACGCUCAUGCACGAAAGCGUGGGGAGCAAACAGGAUUAGAUACCCUGGUAGUCCACGCCCUAAACGAUGUCAACUAGUUGUUGGUAGGGUUAAACCUAUUAGUAACGUAGCUAACGCGUGAAGUUGACCGCCUGGGGAGUACGGUCGCAAGAUUAAAACUCAAAUGAAUUG
This 526-nucleotide ribosomal RNA is filed under the name uncultured bacterium. RNAcentral describes it as "bacterial SSU rRNA". It matches the Rfam family "Bacterial small subunit ribosomal RNA", at positions 395 to 912 of the family's 1533-position model. The record is from RNAcentral.